This 75-nucleotide antisense RNA is filed under the name Streptomyces sp. 150FB. RNAcentral describes it as "ASpks TB sRNA". It matches the Rfam family "ASpks TB sRNA". Lineage: Bacteria; Bacillati; Actinomycetota; Actinomycetes; Kitasatosporales; Streptomycetaceae. The record is from Rfam by way of RNAcentral.
CUUCACCGAACCGAGCCACAACCGCUGCUCGGGGUCCCGCCCUUGACCGUACGUGGCGAGCAGCGCCUGUGCCUC